RNAcentral lists this ribosomal RNA (466 nucleotides) under uncultured bacterium. RNAcentral describes it as "bacterial SSU rRNA". It matches the Rfam family "Bacterial small subunit ribosomal RNA", at positions 331 to 794 of the family's 1533-position model. The record is from RNAcentral.
CCAGACUCCUACGGGAGGCAGCAGUGAGGAAUAUUGGUCAAUGGGCGAGAGCCUGAACCAGCCAAGUCGCGUGAGGGAAGACGGUCCUAUGGAUUGUAAACCUCUUUUGUCGGGGAGCAAAAAGGCCUCGUGAGGCCACAAGUGAGAGUACCCGAAGAAAAAGCACCGGCUAACUCCGUGCCAGCAGCCGCGGUAAUACGGAGGAUGCGAGCGUUAUCCGGAUUCAUUGGGCGUAAAGCGCGCGUAGGCGGCCUGUUAGGUCGGGGGUCAAAUACCGGGGCUCAACCCCGGUCCGCCCCCGAUACCGGCAGGCUUGAGUCUGGUAGGGGCAGGCGGAAUUCCUGGUGUAGCGGUGAAAUGCGUGGAUAUCAGGAGGAACACCGGUGGCGAAGGCGGCCUGCUGGACCGCAACUGACGUUGAGGCCCGAAAGCGUGGGGAGCAAACAGGAUUAGAUACCCUCGUAUA